CAGGUCCAGAAAUAUUCUCCUGCUGAAAAGACUCUGGAGUACAAAAUUCUGUGUCUCUCUCUCUCGUCUUCAUGGUGUGAGAAGCUCAGAAAAUCCUCAGAAAAUCCCACUGCUGCAAACAGAACUAACCAGAAGCACAGGUGUGCAGAGAAAAGGCCAUAUGAGGGUGUAGCAAGAAGGUGGCUGUCUACAAGUCAGGAAAAGAGCUCUUGCCAGGAGCCGAAUUUGCCAGGAUCUUGAUCUUGGACUUCCAGCCUCCAGAACUGCUGCCCCUAUGGACUCUGGAAAGGCUCAUUCACUGUCGUGGUAAGGCUCAUUCACUGUCGUGGUAUUCCGCACAGCAUUGCUUUUGAUCAAGGAAAUCACUUCACAGUGAAGGAAAUGUGGUAAUGGUCUCCUGCCAUGAAGUUAACCAUACACUCCAUCACCUGGAAGCAGCUGGCUAGCCGAACUGAAAGGGCGAACGGCUUCAUGAAGACUCAGGUGGAAUGCCAGUUGGGACACAACACACAAAAGAAUGGGAUUCUGUCUUAAGGGGUGUCUCUCCUUUGCUAAGAUCCAUGAAUCUAGGAAUCAAGCAAUGGAAGUAGAGGUGUUCUUCUCUCCAUUGUCACUAGUAACCCAGUCACAGAAAGUUUGCUUCUUGUCCCAGCAUCUCUGAGCUCUGCUGCUUUGGAGAUGUUCCCACCAUUGGACACAACGAUGGUUUCACUGAGUUGUAUGAUUGAGACUGCCACUGGGCUAUUUUGGGCUUAUUAUGCCACUAACCACUGGUCAGAAGAAGAGGUCACUCUGCUGGCUGGAGGGAUCAAUCCCAAUAACCGAGGGGAGACUGAGUUGCUGCUGCCCCAUAGGGCAGUGAGGAUGACAUCUGGAAUGACUCUAAAUAUUUCCAUGCCUCAUAGUGGAGGUUUAUAGGAAACUACAGACCUCUCCCUCACAUCCCCCACAAAAAAGGAAGAGAAGAACUCAUUAGGAUUCAGACCACUUUGCCAAUGAAGUUUCAAAUUGUCAUGUGGCACUUCCGGCUGAGGGCAAGGGAAACACGGAAUGGGAGGUGGAAGAAGGAAGCCAUAGGUACCACUUAUAGCCUUGAGACUGGUGACAUAAAGGAGGGCAGAAAGUAGCUCUGCCUCUUCUCUUUGCUUAGAUGCAUAUAUCUUUCUGUGUGUCUUCUUCUCUCUUCUCCUUUCAUUAUUACUUCAUGUACAAAUUCACUCUCAUUUAACCUUUAGGUGACACGCUAUUUGGUGACACUAUGACUGAAUCAGAGGAGAGUAAUGAACGCAUCCAGGGAUGGGUACCAUGGCUACUCACCUCCUCAUGCGGGGAAGGGGUGAGUACAAAAGUUCAAAUGUGCGUCAAAGAAUGCUCUAGAGGCCAAGUAGCUGGAGGGUAGACUGUUAUCAAGGAUCAGUGUAAUACUUCAUAUCACCAAAUCUUCCCUUCUUUGAGCCGCUUGGUGAUUCUGGAGCCAGAUCUGUGUCCAACAGUGCAUGGUGGCUCAAGGCACUUGCAGGUCAGCAAAUCCCCUCUGGCACCCUGUUCACGAGGCUUUGCAGUGGAGGAAGUCCAUUGAGACACUGCACAUGAACAGCUUUCUGGGGGUACUGUAGGGAACAGGUUUCCAGCAAGUUCUGCUGGUGAGGCACCACGGCGACAUGUAUGCUAUUGACCUAGCUGUAGCCAAGACAUCCCUCGCAGGGCGCGGAUCCCAGCCUGUGUGGGGGUGUACUUGCUUUCUCAGGCGCUCUGGUUCAGCCCUAGAGCUAUUGCUCCUUCUCCUAUUUCUGUCUGUGCUUCCUGUACUUUUAAAGAGUUCUCUCUACAUUUCACUAGCCACUCCCUCAUUAGUCUCAUCCCUUUGUUAUGGCUUAAUAAUUCUAUUUUAUGAAAGUUUGCCUGUUUCAAAUAACUGUGGUUUCUCUCUCCUGAUUGGACCCAGAGGGAUAACACAGCAAGAGGAAGGGGCUUUUCUCCCUGGAUCCAUGGUCUUUUCCUCCUGGACCUACACCCUGGCUCCCAUUGGGAAGCUUCCCCACCAGCGGCACAUGGCAAAGCACAUUCCUUCCAGGGUGUUUCAUUGGUGGCCCAGGUGACUUCCCAGCUGGUCUUGCUGACACCCUGAGGGUGCUCCCCAGGAAGACACAUUCUAGCCAUUUUUGCUGGGACCAGGGCAAGCUGUGUCCUGCUCCAGACUGUGGCCCUUGGGGAGCUCUUGACCUCCCAGCAAGCCUCAGCUGACCCUUGCAAUGAUGUCCAGAUCUCAGCCAUGGUGAGAGGAGGGCAAGCCUGUCUAACCAUAUUGCUUCCUUGGAUGAGCUCCCUCCGCCAAAGAAGCAGUGGCUGCCCCUACACUGGCUGCUUCUGUGUUCUUCAGCAUUUUUUCUACCCUUCUUAGGAGUGAGUCCCGUGUUACUUAAUAAUUCUACAUAUUAAACUUUCUCUGCUCCCAUAAGUCCUGUGGCUUCUGUCUGAAGGAUCCUGUGUGAUACAUUUACUAUGAAAUAUUGUAUCAGGCAGGGUUGUGUUGUAUAUAACCAAACAUCUAAACAGAUUUAAUACGGAGAAGCAGGUAUUUAUGAAGAGGGGGAAGAAUAUAGCCUAGACGGGAACAUGGCCAAGGCCCCCAGGACCACACUGCAGACAGAGCUUGAUAGGGGAACUGCUACCUUUGCCACUCAGGGCAUUGUGGGGUCAGGAAGCACAAACACAAGAUCAUUGGCUCCGGCAGUAGAAAACCUGAGCAGCAAAGCAGAGAGCAGGAAGUUGUAUUCUGAACUUGUAGCUUCAGAACUACAUUGCACCUGGGCGACCCGGCAAAUCCACAUCCCACCUACUCCCGAAUUAACCUUUCAACUCCAGGUCUCCUGUGAGUGCAGCUGAUUUGCAGAGGCUUUGCAAUACAGUGUAUUAAUAGAAAAUUGGAGGUAGGGUGAGGCCAACAGAUCAGGAAAUGAUUGCCGGUGAAAGGAUAGCUUAUUUCUCACAGAUCCCAAGAGAAGUGCAUACCAUGCAGGACCACAUGGGAAGCAUCGGGGUCACCCAGGAGGCAGAGGG
This is a long non-coding RNA of Lutra lutra (Eurasian river otter), 3060 nucleotides long. RefSeq lists it as uncharacterized. The transcript has 3 exons. The record is from RefSeq and is a predicted model, not a curated record. NCBI's taxonomy places the organism in Eukaryota, Metazoa, Chordata, Mammalia, Carnivora, Mustelidae.